Molecule: ribosomal RNA, 253 nt
Filed under: uncultured bacterium
Lineage: Bacteria
Description: partial 16S ribosomal RNA
Rfam family: Bacterial small subunit ribosomal RNA
Source: RNAcentral
UACGGAGGAUGCAAGCGUUAUCCGGAAUGAUUGGGCGUAAAGCGUCCGCAGGUGGCUAUGUAAGUCUGCUGUUAAAGAGCAAAGCUUAACUUUGUAAAAGCAGUGGAAACUACAUAGCUAGAGUACGGUCGGGGUAGAAGGAAUUCCUGGUGUAGCGGUGAAAUGCGUAGAGAUCAGGAAGAACACCGGUGGCGAAAGCGUUCUGCUAGGCCUGUACUGACACUGAGGGACGAAAGCUAGGGGAGCGAAUGGG